This 1290-nucleotide ribosomal RNA is filed under the name Clostridiales bacterium. Its description in RNAcentral is "bacterial SSU rRNA". It matches the Rfam family "Bacterial small subunit ribosomal RNA". Lineage: Bacteria; Bacillati; Bacillota; Clostridia; Eubacteriales. The record is from RNAcentral.
AUAAGAGUUUGAUCCUGGCUCAGGAUGAACGCUGGCGGCGUGCUUAACACAUGCAAGUCGAACGAAGAUAUUUAGAAUGAGAGCUUCGGCAGGAUUUUUAUCUAUCUUAGUGGCGGACGGGUGAGUAACGUGUGGGCAACCUGCCCUGUACUGUGGAAUAAUCAUUGGAAACGAUGACUAAUACCGCAUGUGGUCCUCGGAAGGCAUCUUCUGAGGAAGAAAGGAUUUAUUCGGUACAGGAUGGGCCCGCAUCUGAUUAGCUAGUUGGUGAGAUAACAGCCCACCAAGGCGACGAUCAGUAGCCGACCUGAGAGGGUGAUCGGCCACAUUGGGACUGAGACACGGCCCAAACUCCUACGGGAGGCAGCAGUGGGGAAUAUUGCACAAUGGGCGAAAGCCUGAUGCAGCAACGCCGCGUGAAGGAUGAAGGGUUUCGGCUCGUAAACUUCUAUCAAUAGGGAAGAAACAAAUGACGGUACCUAAAUAAGAAGCCCCGGCUAACUACGUGCCAGCAGCCGCGGUAAUACGUAGGGGGCAAGCGUUAUCCGGAAUUACUGGGUGUAAAGGGAGCGUAGGCGGCAUGGUAAGCCAGAUGUGAAAGCCUUGGGCUUAACCCGAGGAUUGCAUUUGGAACUAUCAAGCUAGAGUACAGGAGAGGAAAGCGGAAUGAGUACGACCGCAAGGUUGAAACUCAAAGGAAUUGACGGGGGCCCGCACAAGCGGUGGAGCAUGUGGUUUAAUUCGAAGCAACGCGAAGAACCUUACCAAGGCUUGACAUCCCGAUGACCGUCCUAGAGAUAGGACUUCUCUUCGGAGCAUCGGUGACAGGUGGUGCAUGGUUGUCGUCAGCUCGUGUCGUGAGAUGUUGGGUUAAGUCCCGCAACGAGCGCAACCCUUAUCUUCAGUAGCCAUCAUUCAGUUGGGCACUCUGGAGAGACUGCCGUGGAUAACACGGAGGAAGGUGGGGAUGACGUCAAAUCAUCAUGCCCCUUAUGUCUUGGGCUACACACGUGCUACAAUGGCUGGUAACAAAGUGACGCAAGACGGCGACGUUAAGCAAAUCACAAAAACCCAGUCCCAGUUCGGAUUGUAGUCUGCAACUCGACUACAUGAAGCUGGAAUCGCUAGUAAUCGCGAAUCAGCAUGUCGCGGUGAAUACGUUCCCGGGCCUUGUACACACCGCCCGUCACACCAUGGGAGUUGGAAGCACCCCCGAAGGUGAAGCCAGUGACUGGGGUGAAGUCGUAACAAGGUAGCCGUAUCGGAAGGUGCGGCUGGAUCACCUCCUUU